GUUGUAUAGUCAAGUAAUUAAGUGCAUGUGGUGGAUGCCUUGGCAGUCAGAGGCGAUGAAAGACGUGAUAGCCUGCGAAAAGCUCCGGGGAGGCGGCAAAUAUCCUUUGAUCCGGAGAUGUCUGAAUGGGGGAACCCACCUACUUUAAGGUAGGUAUUGCAACAUGAAUACAUAGUGUUGCAAGGCGAACGAGGGGAAGUGAAACAUCUCAGUACCCUUA
RNAcentral lists this ribosomal RNA (220 nucleotides) under Acinetobacter baumannii. RNAcentral describes it as "partial 23S ribosomal RNA". It matches the Rfam family "Bacterial large subunit ribosomal RNA", at positions 1 to 214 of the family's 2925-position model. The record is from RNAcentral. Lineage: Bacteria; Pseudomonadati; Pseudomonadota; Gammaproteobacteria; Moraxellales; Moraxellaceae.